GAUGAAGAACGUAGCAAAAUGCGAUAAGUAAUGUGAAUUGCAGAAUUCAGUGAAUCAUCGAAUCUUUGAACGCACAUUGCACCUCUCGGUAUUCCGGGAGGUAUGCCUGUUCGAGCGUCAUUUGUACCCUCAAGCUCUGCUUGGUGUUGGGUGUUUGUUCCGCCUCUGUGUGUGAACUCGCCUCAAAACAAUUGGCAGCCGGCGUACUUGUUUCGGAGCGCAGCACAUUUUGCGAUCCAGAUCAACGUACAGCGGCAUCCAAGAAGCCUUAUUUAACGCUCUUGACCUCGGAUCAGGUAGGGAUACCCGCUGAACUUAAGCAUAUCAAUAAGCGGAGGA
RNAcentral lists this unclassified non-coding RNA (339 nucleotides) under soil metagenome. Its description in RNAcentral is "partial contains 5.8S ribosomal RNA, internal transcribed spacer 2, and large subunit ribosomal RNA". The stretch from base 1 to 120 matches the Rfam family "5.8S ribosomal RNA", at positions 35 to 154 of the family's 154-position model. The record is from RNAcentral.